AUGAACGCUGGCGGCGUGCCUAAUACCUGCCAGUCGAGCGAACAGACGAGGAGCUUGCUCCUUUGACGUUAGCGGCGGACGGGUGAGUAACACGUGGAUAACCUACCUAUAAGACUGGGAUAACUUCGGGAAACCGGAGCUAAUACCGGAUAACAUGUUGAACCGCAUGGUUCAACAGUGAAAGACGGUCUUGCUGUCACUUAUAGAUGGAUCCGCGCCGCAUUAGCUAGUUGGUAAGGUAACGGCUUACCAAGGCAACGAUGCGUAGCCGACCUGAGAGGGUGAUCGGCCACACUGGAACUGAGACACGGUCCAGACUCCUACGGGAGGCAGCAGUAGGGAAUCUUCCGCAAUGGGCGAAAGCCUGACGGAGCAACGCCGCGUGAGUGAAGAAGGUCUUCGGAUCGUAAAACUCUGUUAUUAGGGAAGAACAAAUGUAUAAGUAACUAUGCACGUCUUGACGGUACCUAAUCAGAAAGCCACGGCUAACUACGUG
RNAcentral lists this ribosomal RNA (496 nucleotides) under uncultured bacterium. RNAcentral's name for it is "partial 16S ribosomal RNA". It matches the Rfam family "Bacterial small subunit ribosomal RNA", at positions 29 to 507 of the family's 1533-position model. The record is from RNAcentral.